UUUGACCUCAAAUCAGGUAGGACUACCCGCUGAACUUAAGCAUAUCAAUAAGCGGAGGAAAAGAAACUAACAAGGAUUCCCCUAGUAACUGCGAGUGAAGCGGGAAAAGCUCAAAUUUAAAAUCUGGCGGUCCUUGCGGCCGUCCGAGUUGUAAUUUAGAGAAGUGUUAUCCGCGCUGGACCGUGUACAAGUCUCCUG
RNAcentral lists this ribosomal RNA (198 nucleotides) under uncultured fungus. RNAcentral describes it as "partial 28S ribosomal RNA". It matches the Rfam family "Eukaryotic large subunit ribosomal RNA", at positions 1 to 192 of the family's 3401-position model. The record is from RNAcentral. Lineage: Eukaryota; Fungi.